This 253-nucleotide ribosomal RNA is filed under the name uncultured bacterium. RNAcentral describes it as "partial 16S ribosomal RNA". It matches the Rfam family "Bacterial small subunit ribosomal RNA", at positions 524 to 776 of the family's 1533-position model. The record is from RNAcentral.
UACGUAGGGGGCAAGCGUUGUCCGGAGUUACUGGGCGUAAAGCGCACGCAGGCGGUCUGCUAAGUUUGGAGCGACAGUUGGUGGCUCAACUACCAAAGUGCUUUGAAAACUGACAGACUUGAGGGCUUCAGAGGGACACGGAAUUCCGGGUGGAGUGGUGAAAUGCGUAGAGAUCCGGAGGAACACCAAAGGCGAAGGCAGUGUCCUGGGGAGUACCUGACGCUCAGGUGCGAAAGCCAGGGGAGCAAACGGG